Molecule: ribosomal RNA, 504 nt
Filed under: Desulfuromonadales bacterium
Lineage: Bacteria; Pseudomonadati; Thermodesulfobacteriota; Desulfuromonadia; Desulfuromonadales
Description: partial 23S ribosomal RNA
Rfam family: Bacterial large subunit ribosomal RNA
Source: RNAcentral
ACAGCUCACUGGUCUAAUCAAGUUGUCCUGCGGCGAAGAUGUAACGGGGCUCAAGCCAUGAGCCGAAGCUUAGGAUGCCGUAAGGCAUGGUAGCAGAGCGUAGUGUGACAUGGUUUCUAUCCUCUUUGGUGUCCCUCGGGGCCCCAUGGAGGAGAAGAAAUCUUCGAUGAAGCCGGGGCGUGAGCGAUCCCGUGGAGAGAUCACUAGUGAGAAUGAUGACAUGAGUAGCGACAAAGAGUGUGAGAGACACUCUCGCCGAAAGUCCAAGGGUUCCUGCUUAAAGCUAAUCUGAGCAGGGUAAGCCGACCCCUAAGGCGAGGCCGAAAGGCGUAGUCGAUGGGAACCAGGUUAAUAUUCCUGGGCCAGAUGGAAGUGACGGAUCGCAGAGGUUGUUCGUUCUUAUCGGAUUGAACGGGCCGCUGACUGGUUCCUGGAAAUAGCUCCAUCAUGAGAUCGUACCCUAAACCGACACAGGUGGACUGGUAGAGAAUACCAAGGCGCUUG